Molecule: ribosomal RNA, 469 nt
Filed under: uncultured bacterium
Lineage: Bacteria
Description: bacterial SSU rRNA
Rfam family: Bacterial small subunit ribosomal RNA
Source: RNAcentral
CCCAGACUCCUACGGGAGGCAGCAGUGGGGAAUAUUGGUCAAUGGCCGGAAGGCUGAACCAGCCAAGCCGCGUGAGGGAGGAAGGCGCAGAGCGUCGCAGACCUCUUUUGCCGGGGAGCAAGGGCCGGGACGCGUCCCGGCCCGGAGAGUACCCGGAGAAAAAGCAUCGGCUAACUCCGUGCCAGCAGCCGCGGUAAUACGGAGGAUGCGAGCGUUAUCCGGAUUUACUGGGUGUAAAGGGAGCGUAGACGGCCAUUCAAGCCAGAUGUGAAAGCCCGGGGCUCAACCCCGGGACUGCAUUUGGAACUGUGGGGCUAGAGUGUCGGAGAGGCAGGCGGAAUUCCUAGUGUAGCGGUGAAAUGCGUAGAUAUUAGGAGGAACACCAGUGGCGAAGGCGGCCUGCUGGACGAUGACUGACGUUGAGGCUCGAAAGCGUGGGGAGCAAACAGGAUUAGAUACCCUCGUAACG